This 558-nucleotide ribosomal RNA is filed under the name uncultured bacterium. Its description in RNAcentral is "bacterial SSU rRNA". It matches the Rfam family "Bacterial small subunit ribosomal RNA", at positions 338 to 916 of the family's 1533-position model. The record is from RNAcentral.
CCUACGGGAGGCAGCAGUAGGGAAUAUUGCACAAUGGAGGAAACUCUGAUGCAGCGAUGCCGCGUGAGUGAAGAAGGCCUUUGGGCUGUAAAGCUCUUUCGUCGGGGAAGAAAAUGGCGGUACCCGAAUAAGAAGGUCCGGCUAACUUCGUGCCAGCAGCCGCGGUAAUACGAAGGGACCUAGCGUAGUUCGGAAUUACUGGGCUUAAAGAGUUCGUAGGUGGUUAAAAAAGUUGGUUGUGAAAUCCCGAAGCUUAACUUCGGAACUGCAAUCAAAACUUUUUAGCUAGAGUAUGAUAGAGGAAAGCAGAAUUUCUAGUGUAGAGGUGAAAUUCGUAGAUAUUAGAAAGAAUACCAAUUGCGAAGGCAGCUUUCUGGAUCAUUACUGACGCUGAGGAACGAAAGCAUGGGUAGCGAAGAGGAUUAGAUACCCUCGUAGUCCAUGCCGUAAACGAUGUGUGUUAGACGUUGGAAAUUUAUUUUCAGUGUCGCAGCGAAAGCAGUAAACACACCGCCUGGGGAGUACGACCGCAAGGUUAAAACUCAAAUGAAUUGACGG